UUUUUCUUGUUAAAAUAAUGUUAAUUGUGAUUCCCCUGAAGCAAAGUUUGAACAGGCAUUCUAAAUGUUCAAAAGUCUGUUAGAAAAUGAGACACAAGAUGAGCAUACAGGAAUACAUUGGAGUGACAGCCAAAACGUUGUAUUGCUUGGUAGAAAGAGAGUACAAGAAAGUAGCACAACGUGGCACUAAUGAAUGCUUGUUUAGUAGCCUAAGCCGGUACAAUGUAUAAAGAAAUGUAUUCUGAAUACAUUCUUUCCAUUCAUUUAGCACAAAUAAAUUGGUUUCACUUUGCAGUGGAACACAGUGUCACUUCUUGAUAUUGACAUCCUACUCAGUGAACGUUUUUCCUGAGGUUCCUGUUGAGUACUGAGGUUUAUAUAUUAUUGAUGAUUUUAAGUGGUUUACCUCAUAUAUAUGGAUAUGUGGGCCAUGGAAAAUGACAAGAGAAUGUUUAUUUUAUGAGAAUAUGUAUCUGGCUGUAAUCAGAGCAGAACAUGAGUAAUUUAUCUUUUGUUUACAAAAGUUUGUUUGACAUGCCUAAUGCUUUCUUAAGGCCAUUUUUAAGAAGGAAAUCCAGCGUUCUGGUAGUAUACUAACACUUGUACAUAUAUUUUCAUGUUUGCUGCUCAUGUCUUCAGUAAGAAUUGCAAACUCAAAAUCUUUAUGAAAUUAGUGCUCUUAAAUUGAAAUAGUAAGUUAAAAUAAUGUUGUAAAAGGUUCUGCUUAAGGCAAAACUAGAACUCUUUCACCUGUAGCUAUGUAGUUGCAGCUCUAAUUUAGAGAAAUGCAUAUACAGUGUAUUACACUUCCUAAACCAAUAUGGGAUCAAGUGCAUUAUCAAGUUACAUUAGUUAUGGUAGUGACUCUCCAAACAAGUGAUUCUCAAGAUUGUGGCAGACCUAAAAUUUGACCAGUGCUUCCAUCUGAAAAUAAUUGACUGUAGCAGAUGCUCAUUUUUCUGUAAAGGAAACUCAGCUGUGAGCAUUGUAAUUAAACAGAGCUCCUGAAUCAGUGUAGAAUUACAGGUGAGAAAAUUACAGAUAGUCAGAGGUGGGACUAAGGUCAAGGUAAGAUUCAUUUGGUUUGAUUCUUGUCGUUUUGUAAACACGAGACAAAGUAAAAUAAGAAGUCUUUUACAAGUAGAAUUCCAACUCAAGUAUACCACUAUUUGAAAUGGUGCCCUCCUGUCUAAAGUGCUUUGGGAUACUUGGACAUACGGCUCUACAGAGUGUGAGCUCGUAGUGAUGGUAGUGUAAAUGCGGGGGAGGGGAAUCCUUUAACAGUGUUGCUUUGAGAUCUUAAAAUGGAAAUUUGCCUAGAAUAAUUUACAUUUGAAGCAUAUUCCAAAACUGAGUUUGUAUAACCCAAGUUCAGCUGCUGUUAUAAAGUGUCUUAGAGAACUCUCCUUACUAUUCCAGUGGGACUCUUACCAGAGGAAAGUGAAGAACUGACAAAUGUAUACUAAAUCUUGAAAGUGUAACAAGGCACUCAGAUGGCCUUACCUAGCUAAGAACUUUGAACAAACAUUUGCUUGCAAUCAGAAGUGUUAAAUUCUAUUUGUAGACCUUUUGGAUAAGAUAAGAAAUUGUGCACAAACAUCUCUAAUAAAUGUAAAUGGACUUUCAGUUUUCCUUGUGAAUUAUAGUCAUGAAUUAUGAUUCUGCAACUGUGAUUUUUAUCAGAUCUCCUAUAGACUGGACAAACUCACUUGACAGUGAGUUCCAGCUUGCUAUGAGGCCUUAAGUGCUUGGCCUUACCUCAGAAGCAUCUGGGUGGGUUUCUGUUGUGCUUUUCAUUCCCAAUGCCUGUCAGUUGCAUGCUGCAUCACAACUAGUUACAUAAGGCCACAGAAGCAAUUCCUAGCCACUAUGAGUAUUUUGUGAGUGUACCCUUUGACAGCUAAAGUUUAGUUUUAAAAAUUACACAUAUCUUUUAGCUGCUUUCAGCAGUGUUCUUCUCUGAGACAAUGAAGCAGCCUUCUUUUUACUUUUUCUCUCAAAGGAUCUGGCUUGGACACUGGAACGGAGCUGAUACUCUGUAGAGCAUUAAGAGUUUACUUUAUCCAUGAUUUGUUCCAGAGAAGUUCUUGGGAAGAAGAGGUGGGACUGUCCGGUGAUAGUCUUCCAGCUAAGAGCCAGAUAAGAUUGUUUUCAUUACAUGUACUCCCCCGAGAGCCUAUUCCCAAGGGCAGAAAGGACUACUGGAGUUUUUCAAGGAAGUGUCAGUGCUUUUCCAUUGGCAAUCCCUCUAUUGGAGCUGAGCAGAACAGGAUUCUUUACUGAUAACAUGUUCAGCAAUCCAUUUGACUGGGUGGAAUCCCUGUGCACUUCAGCUGAAAGAAAAAUGUAAUCUUGGAAGCCAUGAAAAUGAGAAAGCUUCCUGGGAUCUGUGCAAGUUUUGCUGCUGACAGGAGGCAAUAUAAACUCCAUGUAUUUUGUUAAAUAAGUGGGAACUGAUAGUGGAGGCAAAUAAAAGAGCCUUGAAUACACAGUCUCUCAUCCUCAGCAUUAUCGCAUACUAAGGAUGCAUCCAGGGACCUUGUUUCAGUCUUGAAGUACUUUUUCUAAUCCUAAUGUUUAGUUUUACAAGCAGUAUAAGUUCUAAUACUGUCCAACUCUUUUUGAUGUUUCCUUUUUGUUUCAGUCAUGGCAGGCUAUUUCUUUUUGAUCCUUGGGAGUCUCCAGAGCAUGGACUAUGCAGAGCAUAUUUCUCCAGUUCAAGCCAUCUCAUAAGAAACCAGGUUUAUGAGUUGCUGUGUUGCAAAUCCUUAAGUUCCUGGCAUUGGUAUCUAAUUAAAAAUCAUUUUAAAAAAAGGCAAUUCCCCUUUCCACAGAAAUAUUGGAAGUAGUCUUCUAUGUGCAAAGGUGGGCUUUCUCAUUAUCUAAAUGAAUACUGUCUCUGUAAACAAAGGUGUUUGGUGGUAAAACCUAACCUGUCCAAGGCACUUUAGUUUGUGAUUGCUGACUUUUGUUUUGGCAGGUGUUUCAGAUGAAAUCUAAGCCUCCUGUGGAGGAAGAAAAAAAUAA
Long non-coding RNA from Dryobates pubescens (Downy woodpecker), 3027 nucleotides. RefSeq lists it as uncharacterized. The transcript is spliced from 2 exons. The record is from RefSeq and is a predicted model, not a curated record. Lineage: Eukaryota; Metazoa; Chordata; Aves; Piciformes; Picidae.